GUCUUUGCCAAACUGCCUUGGACAUGCCCUAUCUUGUCUGAUCUCAGAAACUAAACAAGAUCAGGCUUGAUUGGUACUGGAUGGGAGACCACUCAGGAAUGCUGGGUCCUGUAGGCC
Molecule: ribosomal RNA, 117 nt
Organism: Cavia porcellus (domestic guinea pig)
Lineage: Eukaryota; Metazoa; Chordata; Mammalia; Rodentia; Caviidae
Source: Ensembl